This is a long non-coding RNA of Pan troglodytes (chimpanzee), 2689 nucleotides long. RefSeq lists it as uncharacterized. Lineage: Eukaryota; Metazoa; Chordata; Mammalia; Primates; Hominidae. The record is from RefSeq and is a predicted model, not a curated record. The transcript is spliced from 3 exons.
GUUGUCUGCGCAGGCGCCGUGUGUCCAGGCGCCGGGCGUCCGCGUCGGCGAUCAGGGGUCUGGGCGCGGCGAGUGGCCGGCUCACCUCAUUCCUGCCAAGACCCAGGUCCGUGUUCUCACAGCGCUGCCAUCUUUCCUCCGUGUGAGCGUGUGCUGUGCGGAGAGUGGACCUCGGUGUGUGCGGGGCUGCGUGCACUGCCAUCGGCUCCCUCUACACGAGCCGCCGUGGACCCAGGGCUGAGCUGUGACCACGAGGGCCAUCCCGAAACUGUGAUUGUUUUCUGGUAUGUGGGGGAUGUGCCAGAACCAGGGCUGAGCUGUGACCACGAGGGCCAUCCCGACGAGCCCCCAUGGACCCAGGGCUGAGCUGUGACCACGAGGGCUAUCCCGACGAGCCGCCGUGGACCCAGGGCUGAGCUGUGACCACGAGGGCUAUCCCGACGAGCCGCCGUGGACCCAGGGCUGAGCUGUGACCACGAGGGCUAUCCCGACGAGCCGCCAUGGACCCAGGGCUGAGCCGUGACCAUGAGGGCCAUCCCGAAACUGUGAUUGUUUUCUGGGUCUCGGUCUGUCGCCCAGGUUGAGUGCAGUGGUGUGAUCUUGGCUCACUGCAACCUCCACCUCCUGGGCACAAGCAAUCCGCCUGCCUCAGCCUCCUGGAUAGCUCAGACUACAGGGGUGUGCCACCAUACCCAGCUCAUUCUUUUGUAUUUUUAGUAGAGACAGAGUUUUGCCAUGUUGCCCAGGCUGGUCUCAAACUCCUGGGCUCAAGUGAUCCACCCACCUUGGCCUCCCACAGGGCUGGGAUUACAGGCGUGAACUCCCAUGCCCGGCCCUCAUGAUCCUUUGUAGACUGAGGGACAAAAGAAGAGGGUGAGGCCUCCCCUCUCCUCAGCGUUGAGUGCAAGGACCCUCGAGGCAACUCUUGGCAAAGCCCCGUGUUCCCACUGGCUGUUUAGGUGGAAUUGCGUCCCCCACUUCCGUAUGUUGAAGUCCUAAUUUUCGGGCCCUCCGCUUGUGACCAUAUUUGGAAGUAGAGGCUUUGCAGAUGUCAUGAGUUAAGAUGGGGGGCCUCCUGGAGCAGGGCAACAUGACUGUGUCCUCAUAAGAAGAGGAGAGACAGAAACAGACACACACAGGGAGAUGCCACGGGACUCCCAAAGCCACAAGAAAGCCUGGAACAGCCCCGCCCUCACAGCCUCCGAAGGACCCAGCCCUGCCUUCACCUGGAUCUGGGACUUCCAGCCUCCAGGACUGGAGGAGAAUGAAACUCUGUUGUUUCGGCCACUCAGGCUGGGGUCCUUUGUUAUGGCAGCUGAGUGGGUGCCUCCCUCUCUGGGGAUGGCCAAUCCCUGUAAGGGAGGCAGUGGUCCCGGUCCCGGAAGGUGAGAGAGGCUUUCUCAGCGUCUUCACUCCGCCAGCUCACGUGGAGACUGGUAGCGGCUGGACCCCAAGCUCUCCUGGGGAGUCUGUUUACUCAAGGUCACCCUUGAUCCAGCGGAGCCCAAGGUCUAGGUCAAGCUUCCUCUAGGAUGUCCCCAAGGCUCUUCAAACAGGUGUCGUCAAGCCAUCUGCCCAAGGGCCCGUCAGCACCUGGCAGGUGUUAGCCAGGCUGAUCUGCAGGCGGGGCUGCCCCGAGUGGGGCUCCCACUGCCCAGGUUGGGACUGGAGCAGCCAAGUGGCUGAGCAACAAGAUGCUUCGUGUGUGGUCCCUGUGAGCCCCCCUGAAUAGUCUCAUGGACAGACAGAUGGACGGGAGGCUCAGUGGGCUCUGGGAGCAAGGGGAGUGCUUGCCGCUCUCCAUGUGACUCCAUUCCAGGACCAGGACAAUGAUGUCUUCCUGUCUGCAGCCAGAAGCAGGGCAGCUGACAGCGGCCCAGCCCUCCUGAGGGACAGGUGUCCCCUCCCAGAAACCUCCCUUCCACCGUCCCCAUCAGUGAAGGUGUCAGGGACUAGGAGGGGCCUCCUUGCUCCUUCCUGGACGCUGCCCCUGGGGUUGAGCUGGAGAGGCUGAGACAUGCUGGGAAGAGGAGGACCAGCCCAGUGGGCGGCCGCCCAACAGCUCGGCGGUGAGAAGAGGCCACGUGUAAGAAGGAAACGCCACCACCCCACUGGAUGGUGGGAGCAGGACUCCAGGGAGGGGGGUCUUGAGUGUAGGCAACCAUGUCGAUUUGGCACAGCGUCUCAGCAGGGCAGGGCAAGGGUCUGGGAUUCCAGUUCACGGAUGCCUCAGGUACCAUGGGUGGACAGAGGCCCAGACCCUCUACAAGACGGCAGUGAUCAUGUCAGACCCUCGCAGCGCUUGAGGGCUGCAGCAGGAGCCCUGAGUCCUCUCUUCUGACCAGGCAGCAGGGAGGACUCGCUGCCCCCAGCUGCACAACGCCUGCCCCGGCCUUGGUCUCGGCCCUCUACCUGGCACCAGCUGGAGCCUCUUGGCCAUUCCUCUGUGCCAUGGGACGCUCUCCCACUCCCGCGCUGGCUUCUGCCCACAGUGGCGCCCCUGCUCACCCAGUGGCAGUGUCCCCACCUCUCAGGAGAGUUUUUCACAGUGGCAGGCCCUGACCCAGAGUCUCCUGCCUACUUGGUGGCUAAAGGCCCCAGGUGAUCCCCGAAUCCUGCUGUCUCAGGGAGUUUCUCAGAGUCCCACCUCCUCCACAGAACCAGGGGAUUGGCCAAGACUCAAAGCUUC